ACUAACUCAUCAGAAGCAGAAGCGCCCUGGUGAUUCUAUGCCACACCACCAUUCCCCAGGAAAAUGUUCUCCACUGAGACAAAAUCCUUAAAUUUUUAGAAUGGCCUUAUUAUGGAUUACAGCAAACAUCUCAGCACAUCUUUCUCAGCAAGGAUCUCAAAACAGCAUUGGGAUGGCCUUAUUAAUAGAUCCCUUACGAAAACUCAGAAAAGUUAGAGAGGCACUCAGAAUCUUCCUAAAAUAUGAAAUGUUGAAAUCUGGAUUCUUUUUUUACCAUGACUGCAAAAUGUAAGCCACUACUUGGGCUCACCUUGUUGAAUCAGAUUUCUUCUACUUUGCCAUUUUGAUGAUAUCACUCCCAGGUAUGUUUUUUUCUUUUUUUUUCCUUUUCUUUUUCCUUUCUUUUCUCUUUCUUUUUUUUUUUUUUUUUUUUUUUUGAGACAGAGUUGUGCUCCUGUUGCCCAGGCUGGAGUGCAAUGGCACGAUCUCUGUAGGCUCACUGCAACCUCCACCUCCCCAGUUCAAGCAAUUCUCCUGCCUCAGCCUCCCGAGUAGCUGAGAUCACAGGAGCCUGCCACGACGCCCAGAUAAAUUUUUGUAUUUUUUUAGUAGAGAUGGGGUUUCACCAUGUUGGCCAGGCUGGUCUUGAACUCCUGACCUCCAGUCAUCUGCCCACCUAUGCCUACCAAAGUGCUCACUCCCAGGAGAUGAAUCUAUUGCUUCCAGAGCAUGAAUACUAGAACAGAGGACAGUUGGUAAAACUGAGAUACCAUGCCAGGUAAUAGUCGGAGUUUCAGCUGGAAAAUAGAAGAUAUGUUUCCAUUGGGUCAAGCAAGAAGAGCUUGAGACAUCUCAUCGAUUACCUACAAAAACUGCCCAGAUAAGUGAGGAGACCCAUGAGAUUUGGUAUAAAUUGCUCACUGUAUGUGGGGUAACAGAAAGAAGAAUAACCCAACAUAGAAAGCCUCAAAGCAGGAAGAUACUACACAGACUUCCAAAGAAGCAGUGAGAGGACACCAUCUGAUGCUGGCUGCACCAAGAAGCCUGAAUGGCUGUCAGUGUCAGGUGGGGAAGCAGAUGACAGAAGAGAGGAGAACAUGAAAUUGUACUAUAACUGCGUUUGUUGUCCAAAUAAGCACAAGCUGUUCCAUAUACUUUUACAUGUUUCAUUUACUUCUGCAGAGAGGAAAGAAGAAAGAUGAGAGGGAAAGCUAAGAAAAGGUGAGAAGAAAGGGUCAGGAGGAGAAAUGCAAAGAGACUGGGAUAAUUUUUUGGACCAUACCUUCUCUGCUGGCAGCUUACUGUGACUGCACCAUCCAAAAUUUGGUAUAAGGAUUUGGAAAUUUGACCAAUAUUUCUUAGAAGGUAAUGAAAUACCUAAUUGUUUUCCUUCCUUUUCAGCCCCAUCACCAUUUGUUCAUUCAAAAUUCAAAAGGUAAAGAUGAUGCCAUUUUAUGCUUGUAUAUAGUUUAAUUGAGAUUGCCUGAUAUCUCACAACAUAUUAGUAAUCUAAUGACUAGUAAUUCCUCUCUGGAGAUCACCCCUAAAAGUAUACCCUAGAAUGUGAACCAAAAUUUAUGUUCUAAAUUUCCUGUCAAGUAAUACUAUGUAAAGAACAAAAACAGGAGGGAUAUCUUAAAUUCCAAUGAUAGAAGACUGAUUGACUGUAUAUUAAUACUUUGAAGUAGUAGAAAUAUUAUAGUUCAAUUGAAAAUGAUAUCUGUAAGUAUUGCUAAUGAUGCCAGCAUAGAUUUACUAUGAAAUGUUUUGUGAAAAUAAUUAAGAUACAAUUGUAUUAUGGGUAGCAAACACAGGAAAAACUAGAAAGAAUACUAACAAGUAAACUGUGAUUAAAUUUCUACGGUAUGUGUUGUCAUCUUUUUAAUUCUAUUUUUCCAUAUUUUUCAAAUUUUCUGUAUGUAUGCAUAGUAAUUUUCUAUUUUGAAGAAAUAGGUGUUAUCAUUUUUUGAAGAAUAAAGGAGGCAGAGCUUUUAAUUUUAUAAUCCAUUUCUUCCUUUUAGCCUUGCUACAAGGCUGAAAAAAUGUACAAGAAAAAUUUUCCUGUUGUUUCUGCCUUAUUUUUAUUAGAGCAAGAAAAAAAUGAAAACCCAAAAGUAAAAUGAUAACAUGAAGAAAAUGAUACGUUUCUUAGGUAUUUAGCUGAAAUAGAGGUAUAGAGAAAAAUAAUUGAUGAUUUUGGGAGGGUAUUUUUCCUAUGUCAAAAGGUAGAACUUGAUGAUGUCAUAGUAACUCUUGUUUUGGAAGUGCAUAAAUAUUCAAAAUAAAAAUUUUAAAUGAUCUUGUUUUCCAGAAGAAAA
Long non-coding RNA from Homo sapiens (human), 2318 nucleotides. RefSeq lists it as uncharacterized. The transcript has 2 exons. The record is from RefSeq and is a predicted model, not a curated record. NCBI's taxonomy places the organism in Eukaryota, Metazoa, Chordata, Mammalia, Primates, Hominidae.